GUAGGGUGCAAGCGUUAAUCGGAAUUACUGGGCGUAAAGCGUGCGCAGGCGGCUUUGCAAGACAGAUGUGAAAUCCCCGGGCUUAACCUAGGAACUGCAUUUGUGACUGCAUGGCUGGAGUGCGGCAGAGGGGGAUGGAAUUCCGCGUGUAGCAGUGAAAUGCGUAGAUAUGCGGAGGAACACCGAUGGCGAAGGCAAUCCCCUGGGCCUGCACUGACGCUCAUGCACGAAAGCGUGGGGAGCAAACAGGAUUAGAUACCCUGGUAGUCCACGCCCUAAACGAUGUCAACUGGUUGUUGGACGGCUUGCUGUUCAGUAACGAAGCUAACGCGUGAAGUUGACCGCCUGGGGAGUACGGCCGCAAGGUUG
RNAcentral lists this ribosomal RNA (369 nucleotides) under uncultured bacterium. RNAcentral's name for it is "bacterial SSU rRNA". It matches the Rfam family "Bacterial small subunit ribosomal RNA", at positions 527 to 896 of the family's 1533-position model. The record is from RNAcentral.